Long non-coding RNA from Etheostoma cragini (Arkansas darter), 248 nucleotides. RefSeq lists it as uncharacterized. The transcript is spliced from 2 exons. The record is from RefSeq and is a predicted model, not a curated record. NCBI's taxonomy places the organism in Eukaryota, Metazoa, Chordata, Actinopteri, Perciformes, Percidae.
UUUCUGCUCAUUGUCCAACAGGAAAGUGGGCGACUCCGUUUGACGCUGACCUCACCGAGCAGGACGACUUCAACGUGGACGAGAACACAAAGGUUCUGGUCCCCAUGAUGAACAUGGAGGCUAGAUUCAGGACCUACCAAGACCUGGAUCUGAACACCACGGUCCUUAAACUCCCCUUCACCGGCGCCUACGCCAUGCUGCUGAUGAUGCCUGACGUCAUGGCAACGCUGGAGGACUCCGUCUCCCCG